AUGAGAGCUCUUUUACAAACUUGGGGGAAAGGCGAGGGGAGCGUUGUUGCUGCUGGUGCUGCAGCUGUCAAGAGGAAGAAAGGGAGAAGAAGGGAAGCCAAGGAGACAAAGGGCAGGGCGAGGCUUUGCGAGGAGGAAAAGGAAGAAAGGGGGGGGGGGGGAAGAGAGAGAGAGAGGUGGAGCCUGGAAUCCUUGGGGAAAAGCAGAAGGACACCAGGGAAAGUUGCGCCAGGAUUAUUUUUAUUAUUUCGUUUCCAUUCCGCCAAACGCCAGAGAAGGGAGAAGCAACCUAAGCCCAAGAAGAAGAAGAAAACCCCAACUUGGACCAGCAAGAGGGAGAAAUAACCCAUCCCAUCCAAGCUCAGAGGACAUAAUGGGUGACACAAUGCAUGGCUCAGGUGCUUCGGCAAAAAAAGGCAGACACACACCAUCAGAUUGCCUGGGAGUACUAUGGACUGAAACUUGACAACACUGAUCUAAUAAUGUAAGUGUCCUGGACUUGUUGCCCAUCCACCUUCAGAUGUUGAUGGCUUUUUCGUGUGACGAUCUCCUCAAAGCUGCCCCUCCUUCAUUUUUACCUACACACAAAACUCUGGCUUUCCAAGAAGCAAAAGAACAUUAUUGUUUUCUAGUGUGGUACAUUUAUCUUCUUUAUUUUCUCCUUACAGCUGCUUAUGCGCUUUGGUACUUGGCUUGCAUUUGAUCCUGAAGAAUUCCAAGUGACAGGUAAUGUAAACAUCCUACACUCUCAGCUGUGUAGAUAAGAAGAAAGCUGGGAGAAGGCUGUUUACUCUCUCUGUCUUGGAAAGCAGCUGAAAGAAGAAAAAAACAUGGGCGAUUUUGCAAGCUCUUUCUAGACUCCUGUUCUAAGCUGUAUUGAAAAUAUUAUUGUAUCUUUUAGAAAACUUUAAAAUAAGACAAAAAAUUGAAUGUGCAUUUUUAAACUAUGUUUAAAAGAUAGAGAUUUCCUUUUGACAUUAAGUCUAGUCGUGUCCGACUCUGGGGAAUGGCGGCUGAGGCUGUCCAAAACACCUGGAAGGCCAAAGUGAGCCCAUGCCUGCUAUAGGCCUUGUAAGACUACAGUUCUCGUGAUCACAUAGCAUUGCACCGUGUAGGUUAAAAUGCUGUCAAACCGCAUUAAUUCUACAAUUUUCCUAAAUGCUUUCCGAACUGUAUGACGCAAAACGUUAAAUGUGUCAGCUGCAAUUUGUAGGUGUGUCAUGCAAACAUAAUGAGAAAUCUCUUGAAAUAAAUCACAUAUUUUAAAUAUA
This is a non-coding RNA of Anolis sagrei ordinatus, 1271 nucleotides long. Lineage: Eukaryota; Metazoa; Chordata; Lepidosauria; Squamata; Anolidae. The record is from RefSeq and is a predicted model, not a curated record.